UGGAUUUUCUGGAGUCUGGGGUCAGCAGGUGGCGGGGUGCAGACCUGUCAGAGCGCUGUCCCCAGCCGCGCCAGGGCAGCACCGCGGUGCCCAGCAGCCGGCCCCAUUUACCCCUUGCUGGGCUCAGUGGAGCCAUUUGGGGCACGGAUUUCCCCCCAGGACACCGACACCGCCCCCUCGCUGUGCCCUGGGUGGGGGGGCAUCGCCCCCAUCUGGGUCCCGGUUUGGGCACUGGGUGCUGGGGAGCACCCACGGGGAGGGGAUUUGGGUGGGUGCUGUGGGUCAGCGGCUUGGUGGUGCGGUGGCUCCCUGCUCCCUGCUCGCCGUGCCGGUGCUGGCACCAAGGUGGGGGCACCGCUGCCUGCGGGGCGGGCAGACAGGGCUGUGCCCCCCCAGCUCAGCCCUACUGGGUGCUACUGCACGGGGGAAACUGAGGCAGGGCUGCGGUGGGACAGCCAACGAGCCGAGCACCGCGUCCCCUGCCACCCCCCCCCCCCCGAGGCUUUCUGCUGCCGGGGGGGCCGCCGUGGAGCCGCUCCCCCCAGUUUUCCCCGUUCUCAGAAGGCAACAGCCCUGCGGCGGCCAUGCGGGCAGCACCCAGCCCACGCCGCCCUCCCCGCUCGCCGAGCUAAACCGGGACGGAGAAACCCCGCAGAGCUGCUGGUGGCUGCGAGGUCCCUGCACCCCCGCAGGUCACCGGGCCUGGAGGGGGUCCCCAGCAGCCCCCCCGGCCCCCCACAGCUCCUGGAUGGGCGACGGGACCCCCGUGCACGAGCCCCUCACCUCCUGCUCUGCCCCGGCACCAUCGGUGCCUGCAGCCUGCGGCCGGGGCUGGCCGGUGAGGGUGCAGCAGGGCUCGGGGUCGUUCCCCGCUGGGUUCUGCUCGUGCCUUCCUCCCCAGGGGCCGAGAGCUCAGCGGACGCAUUGCUGCCCGCAGAGCCCCCUCCCCGCGUCCCCUUCUUACCCUCCUGCACUUGUGGCUUCUGCAGACCCCGCGGCGAGUGCCUCCGCCUGUCCCACGGACGCAGCCGUGCUCCUGCUCCGCCAUCUCGUGUCUCUGUCCCCCUGCAGGGUCACCGCGAGCAUCCCCACCCUCUCCUCUGCCCACAGCCCCCCGGGACACCAGGGCAGCCGGGACCCCCGCAGGACUGCCCCCCCCCUACAGUGUGGGUGCUCUACGCCAAAGACAUCCCCAUCGGCAGCACCGAGGAGGAGGAGGAGGAGAUGAGAGCCGAGGCCAAAGGGCUGCACAAAACCCCAGAGCAAACGCCGGAGCCGAUGAAGGAGCCGGUGCUGGCGGGGGCUCGGCCGCCCCCCGCGGUGCCCAAGGGGCUGCGGCUGCACCCGGGCAGCCUCUGCCCCCUCCUCGUGCCCCAGCCCUGCCCCUGCGGCACCCGCUGCCCCCCGUUCCUGCUGGCCCCGCACCCUGCACCACCCCUCGCCCCGCUGGGUGACACGCGGGCCCUGGUGUCACCUCCGCGGGGUGGCACGGGCUGCGGUGCCCUCCUGCAGCUGCCGCCCCCCCUGGGGACGCACGGCACCGUCCCGGCCCCACGCAGGCAGCGGGUGCCUGAGCUGCAGAAGGCACCGGUGGCUUUUCUGCCCCUCCCCACAGGGGGUGGGUGCCCGCCACCCCAAAAAGCCCCCGCCUGCCCGGCCAAGCCACCCGCCCGAGCCACACUGGGGCCGCGGGGGAAGCAGGACAGCAGGAACAAGUACGAGUGCCGCGUCUGCAGCAAGCGCUUCAGGCAGCUCUCCAACCUCAAGAUGUGCUGCAAGCGCUUCCGCAGCAGCAGCAACCUGAAGACGCACCAGCGGCUGCACGCGGGCCGGGACCCCACCCAGUGCCACCUCUGCCCCGGCCGCUUCUCCCCACGCGUCCAUCUCCAGCUCUGCCGGUGCCCGUGCGAGUGCUGGCACCUGCCCCGUGCCCCCCCCCGACCCCCAGAGCCUCCUCGUGCAAACCCUGGGAUGCUUCAGCCUGGGCAUGGGGUGGCUGCAACGGGAGGAAGAGGAGGAGGAGGAGAAGGAGGAAGGGCAGAGCUGCCCUGCGGCACUGCUGCGGGGCUGGGUGCUGGGGGAGGGGGGGACGGGGGUGCCCGGGUGGGCAGGGGCGCACGUGGGGUGCCCUGUGCCUGCCUGGCCCCGCUUUGGUGGCCCCUGGAGGCAGCCGCGUGCCCCGUUGUGGCUGGUCUGAGCUGAAGCCGUGCCUUUGUGCCGCAAACGCCCCUUUCCAUGGAAAAAGGUUUAAUUUCUGUUUUCUAAUUUCUGUUCAUGUUUUAAUUUCUCAGCCCCCUCCAUCGCUGGCACACCCCCAGCUCCGUGGUGCCUGUGGGGACGUGGCCCUGCCCACCCUCACCCGCU
This 2364-nucleotide long non-coding RNA is filed under the name Anser cygnoides (Swan goose). Its description in RNAcentral is "lncRNA (ENSACDG00005002580.1)". Lineage: Eukaryota; Metazoa; Chordata; Aves; Anseriformes; Anatidae. The record is from RNAcentral.